This 550-nucleotide ribosomal RNA is filed under the name uncultured bacterium. Its description in RNAcentral is "bacterial SSU rRNA". It matches the Rfam family "Bacterial small subunit ribosomal RNA", at positions 355 to 896 of the family's 1533-position model. The record is from RNAcentral.
UAGGGAAUCUUCCACAAUGGACGCAAGUCUGAUGGAGCAACGCCGCGUGAGUGAAGAAGGGUUUCGGCUCGUAAAGCUCUGUUGGUAGUGAAGAAAGAUAGAGGUAGUAACUGGCCUUUAUUUGACGGUAAUUACUUAGAAAGUCACGGCUAACUACGUGCCAGCAGCCGCGGUAAUACGUAGGUGGCAAGCGUUGUCCGGAUUUAUUGGGCGUAAAGCGAGCGCAGGCGGUUUCUUAAGUCUGAUGUGAAAGCCCCCGGCUCAACCGGGGAGGGUCAUUGGAAACUGGGAGACUUGAGUGCAGAAGAGGAGAGUGGAAUUCCAUGUGUAGCGGUGAAAUGCGUAGAUAUAUGGAGGAACACCAGUGGCGAAGGCGGCUCUCUGGUCUGUAACUGACGCUGAGGCUCGAAAGCGUGGGGAGCAAACAGGAUUAGAUACCCUGGUAGGCCACGCCGUAAACGAUGAGUGCUAAGUGUUGGAGGGUUUCCGCCCCUUAGUGCUGCAGCUAACGCAUUAAGCACUCCGCCUGGGGAGUACGACCGCAAGGUUG